CGUGUACAUAUAUGAUACAAAAUAUUACUUCAAAAAUAAUACAUUGUGGUUUUUAUUUUUUAAGAAGACAGAGUUAUUAAGCUAUUUAGAGUGUAAAGACAUCAAACAACUCAAGCUUUGUGAAUCAGGAAUUGGCUACACAUUCAAGUCACUGGCUUGUGGAUUCUGGGCUUUGAAACAGAAUGAAUUUCGAAAAGCCAUCACCAAAAUUGUAAUGCAGGGAGGGGAUGCCGAUACAAAUGCAUGUGUGGCAGGAGCAUUGCUAGGAUGUAAACUAGGAUUAGACGCUAUCCCUUCAUCAUGGAAAGAUGGUUUGUUGCACAAAGAGUGGUUAGACCAACAGAUAUCUAGAUUCUUGAGAAUGACAAAUGGAGAGGAAAUGGAAGGCAAGGAUGAUCCAAAUUCAGAGGCAUUAGGAACUGUUUAGCACCCUAACAAAUGUGAAAUGAAUAAAAAAAAGUAUGUAAAAACCAACAACAGACCACUGUAGACGUAUCAGAAUUUUGGCUCAAGUACACCCUAACUAUCAUAGUAUCUCCUUUUCACCAAACUGUUGCAAAAAGACAAUCAACGUUAUCAUUAGGCCAUGACCUGUAUUCAAUGUCAUUUCACAGAAUGAAUAUGUAACUAAAAUGUGACUGAAAGGUGACUGAAAGCUGACUGAAUCAUUGGCAUAAAUAUGCUAUUCAGUGACCUUUCCAGUCCAUUCAGUUAACAUUCAGUUGACUGAAUAAUGGCAGAGCUUCAUCCUGUUAAAUGACAAUGUUAAGACAAGAGCUUGGUCAUUUUUUUUCAUUACAUUACAAAUCGUUUUCUCAGAUUUAUACAUACAAACCAAAUAUUGUUAUAGAGAAAUAUCUUAUAUGUGAUGUUUCUAGACCUCGAUUCAUACGGGUCACUGUACAGGUCACUGUGAAAGUAUGCUCUCACAGUCACAUACGGAGCAAAAUUACCGAUGUCUGAGGUGAAGGUUAACCAAUGUCUGAGGAAGCCAUUAGUACCAUCAAGCAUUCUGGGAUAUAAUGUUGCUCACAAGGCAUUGUACAAACAUAUCACAUGUACUUGUGUGCUACAUAUACAUAUAAUAUACUAUUUGUUUGUUAUGUUUUUUUAUACCCCCGCUCCGAAGGAGAGGGGGUAUACUGUUUUACCCUUGUGUGUCUGUCUGUCUGUCUGUCCGUCCGUCCGUCCGUCUGUCUGUCUGUCCGUCUGUCCGUCUGUCUGUCCGUCCGUAACAAAAAUUUCUGUCACAUUUAUCUCAGCAACUAUUUAUCGCAGAUGCUUGAAAUUUUAACACAGUGUUUGUUAAGGCAUGCCAUAUCGUGGGAUAUAUUUUGUACCAAUCGGACGUCAACUUCCUGUUAAAUGACGACUUUGCUUAUUUUUUAACCAAAAUCUUCAAACAAAUUUUCGUCAAAGAUUUCUCAGCAACUGUUCAUCGCAGAUGCUUGAAAUUUUUACACAGUAUUUGUAUAGGCAUGCCAUAUCGUGGGAUAUAUUUUUGUACCAAUCAGACGUCAACUUCCUGUUAAAUGACGACUUUGUUUAUUUUUUGCCAGAAUUUUCAAACAAAUUUCCGUCAAAGAAUUCUCAGCAACUAUUUAUCGCAGAUGCUUGAAAUUUUAACACACUAUUUGUUUAGGCAUGCCAUAUCGUGGGAUAUAUUUUUGUAUCAAUCGGACGUCAACUUCCUGUUAAAUGACAACUUUGCUUAUUUUUUAACCAAAUUUUCAAACAAAUUUUCGUCAAAGAUUUCUCAGCAACUAUUUAUCGCAGAUGCUUGAAAUUUUAACACAGUGUUUGUUAAGGCAUGCCAUAUCGUGGGAUAUAUUUUUGUACCAAUCGGACGUCAACUUAUUGUUAAAUGACGACUUUGCUUAUUUUUUAACCAAAAUUUUCAAACAAAUUUUCGUCAAAGAUUUCUCAGCAGCUUUUUAUCGCAGAUGCUUGAAAUUUUAACACACUAUUUGUUUUGACAUGCCAUAUUGUGGGAUAUAUUUUUGUAUCAAUCGGACGUCAACUUCCUGUUAAAUAAUGACUGUUUAUUUUUUGCCAAAAUUUUCAAACAAAUUUUCGUCAAAGAUUUCUCAGCAACUAUUUAUCGGAGAUGCUUUAAAU
Long non-coding RNA from Magallana angulata, 2118 nucleotides. RefSeq lists it as uncharacterized. The transcript has 3 exons. Lineage: Eukaryota; Metazoa; Mollusca; Bivalvia; Ostreida; Ostreidae. The record is from RefSeq and is a predicted model, not a curated record.